AUGCUUUGGCAGCACAUAUACUAAAAUUGAAUGAUACACAGAAGAUUAGUAUGGCCCCUGUGCAAGGAUGACAUGCAAAUUGCUGAAAUGUUCCAUAGUAAA
Small nuclear RNA from Sciurus vulgaris (Eurasian red squirrel), 102 nucleotides. The record is from Ensembl. Lineage: Eukaryota; Metazoa; Chordata; Mammalia; Rodentia; Sciuridae.